UACAGAGGGUGCAAGCGUUAAUCGGAAUUACUGGGCGUAAAGAGUGCGUAGGUGGUUGGAUAAGUUAGGUGUGAAAUCCCUGGGCUCAACCUAGGAACUGCGCUUAAAACUGUUCGGCUAGAGUAUUGUAGAGGAUAGUGGAAUUUCCAGUGUAGCGGUGAAAUGCGUAGAUAUCGGGAGGAACACCUGAGGCGAAGGCGGGCUACUGGGCCGAUACUGACGCUGAUGCGCGAAAGCCAGGGGAGCGAACGGG
RNAcentral lists this ribosomal RNA (253 nucleotides) under uncultured bacterium. RNAcentral's name for it is "partial 16S ribosomal RNA". It matches the Rfam family "Bacterial small subunit ribosomal RNA", at positions 524 to 776 of the family's 1533-position model. The record is from RNAcentral.